This is a non-coding RNA of Vicia faba (fava bean), 312 nucleotides long. The record is from the annotation of a GenBank genome assembly. Lineage: Eukaryota; Viridiplantae; Streptophyta; Magnoliopsida; Fabales; Fabaceae.
AUGCUAAGGCGCCGAGAAGGCGAUAAAUCGGUGAUAGACGGUUUUACCUUGAAUCGGCGAUGGCGGAGCAUUCGGUGUCAUAUUCGUAAUGUUGAAGAUGAUGUUGUUGUUGAUGGAUGCGGAGGAGCUGCAAUUUUUGAUGAAGGCAAGGCCGUGAUGAUGAUUAAAGAUGCGCAAAGAGAGGGAGCUGAGAGAUCAUUUUCAGAGAGAGUGAAGAAUCACUGUAAUUGCCAGGUGAAUAAGCUGAUGCAGGGCCUGUUUUAUGGUUCAUGUUGCAAUGCUUGGAGGAAAUAUGAAGGCACAUGGUUAUGA